Molecule: ribosomal RNA, 408 nt
Filed under: uncultured bacterium
Lineage: Bacteria
Description: partial 16S ribosomal RNA
Rfam family: Bacterial small subunit ribosomal RNA
Source: RNAcentral
GACGAACGCUGGCGGCGUGCUUAACACAUGCAAGUCGAACGAAGUGGCGAACGGGUGAGUAACGCGUAAUCCACCUGCCCUUCAGAGGGGGACAACAGUUGGAAACGACUGCUAACACCGCAUACUGAAGGAGGUGAUUGCGUGUGAUUAGGUCGUUGGGGCGGUAACGGCCCACCAAGGCGAUGAUCAGUAGCCGGGCCGAGAGGGUGAACGGCCACAGUGGGACUGAGACACGGCCCAGACUCCUACGGGGGGCAGCAGUGGGGAAUCUUCCGCAAUGGACGGAAGUCUUGCGGAGCAACGCCGCGUGAGUGAUGACGGGCUUCGGGUUGUAAAGCUCUGUUAAUCGGGACGCGGUACCGGAAUAGAAAGCCACGGCUAACUACGUGCCAGCCGCCGCGGUAAUAC